GACGAACGCUGGCGGCGUGCCUAAUACAUGCAAGUGGGACGCAAGGAAACACACUGUGCUUGCACACCGUGUUUUCUUGAGUCGCGAACGGGUGAGUAACGCGUAGGUAACCUGCCUAUUAGCGGGGGAUAACUAUUGGAAACGAUAGCUAAUACCGCAUAAUAUUAAUUAUUGCAUGAUAAUUGAUUGAAAGAUGCAAGCGCAUCACAAUUAGAUGGACCUGCGUUGUAUUAGCUAGUUGGUAAGGUAAGAGCUUACCAAGGCGACGAUACAUAGCCGACCUGAGAGGGUGAUCGGCCACACUGGGACUGAGACACGGCCCAGACUCCUACGGGAGGCAGCAGUAGGGAAUCUUCGGCAAUGGACGAAAGUCUGACCGAGCAACGCCGCGUGAGUGAAGAAGGUUUUCGGAUCGUAAAGCUCUGUUGUAAGUCAAGAACGUGUGUGAGAGUGGAAAGUUCACACAGUGACGGUAGCUUACCAGAAAGGGACGGCUAACUACGUG
Molecule: ribosomal RNA, 505 nt
Filed under: uncultured bacterium
Lineage: Bacteria
Description: partial 16S ribosomal RNA
Rfam family: Bacterial small subunit ribosomal RNA
Source: RNAcentral